Molecule: unclassified non-coding RNA, 214 nt
Filed under: plant metagenome
Description: partial contains small subunit ribosomal RNA and internal transcribed spacer 1
Rfam family: Eukaryotic small subunit ribosomal RNA (bases 1-46)
Source: RNAcentral
AAGUCGUAACAAGGUCUCCGUAGGUGAACCUGCGGAGGGAUCAUUACACAAACAUGAAGGCGGGCUGGAACCUCUCGGGGUUACAGCCUUGCUGAAUUAUUCACCCUUGUCUUUUGCGUACUUCUUGUUUCCUUGGUGGGUUCGCCCACCACUAGGACAAACAUAAAACCUUUUGUAAUUGCAAUCAGCGUCAGUAACAAAUUAAUAAUUACAA